This 301-nucleotide ribosomal RNA is filed under the name uncultured bacterium. Its description in RNAcentral is "partial 16S ribosomal RNA". It matches the Rfam family "Bacterial small subunit ribosomal RNA", at positions 509 to 807 of the family's 1533-position model. The record is from RNAcentral.
CAGUCGCCGCGGGAAUACGUAGGUGGCAAGCGUUGUCCGGAAUUAUUGGGCGUAAAGCGCACGCAGGCGGAUCGGUCAGUCUGUCUUAAAAGUUCGGGGCUUAACCCCGUGAUGGGAUGGAAACUGCCAAUCUAGAGUAUCGGAGAGGAAAGUGGAAUUCCUAGUGUAGCGGUGAAAUGCGUAGAUAUUAGGAAGAACACCAGUGGCGAAGGCGACUUUCUGGACGAAAACUGACGCUGAGGCGCGAAAGCCAGGGGAGCGAACGGGAUUAGAUACCCCCAGUAGUCCCUGUCUCUUAUAC